AUGAGUUUGUGUGCAUUGUGGAUUUUCGUGGUGGUGAUUUGGGCAGUAACGAAUGUGGAGAUGGCCAGUUUGGAGAGCAGCAGCCCUGGACUUCAGAGUAUCCAGGCCUUACACUGUCCACCCUGUGGGCGCAUCCACUGCUCACCCCGCAGAGCCCUGAAGCUCCAGUGUAAAGGUGGUGUCACCACAGGCGUAUGUGGCUGCUGCCCCACAUGUGCCAAACUAGCUGGUGAGAGCUGUGGAGGGACAUGGGAUUACCUGGGCAAGUGUGAUGAAGGACUGGUGUGCAUGUACCAGGACACCAGUGACAGCAAACCAGAGGGAGAACACACAGGUAUCUGCAAGUCAGUACUCGAAGUCCUCGAAAAGGACACAUGUCGACCAGACUGCACAUGGGAAUUCUGUCAGGCGCACCCCAAUGAAAUAUGCUCAGCCAGGUCUGUGUCUCUGGAGAAGCGUGAGUGCGGAGGUUUCUGUCAGCACACCACUUGUUCCAGCUGUUUGGUUCUGAGGCGUCCGACGUGUCAUCAGGCCUGCGCUCAAACAGACCACGUCUGCCUUCAUCGCUUCGGGAGGUGUGUGCACGGCUACCUGGAAGCACAGAAACCUGCAGUCUGCCACCAGAAUCUACAGAACAACAACGAGGGAUACUUUGUGUGUUUGGCCCCUGCCUGCCCACACACAGCAAACUGACACAUCUGCGGAGGAACUGCUCCAAAAGGAUCCAAGCUAAAAUGUAGCACAUUUAAAGCAGCUAUUUUUGAAAUGUUGUAACCUUUUAAUACUUGUUCUAAAAACAUUGCAGUUAAAGAGAAUUGUUCUCUACAGUUGAAUUUUUUCAAAGUUUUCAAAUUAAAUGG
This is a long non-coding RNA of Pygocentrus nattereri (red-bellied piranha), 860 nucleotides long. Lineage: Eukaryota; Metazoa; Chordata; Actinopteri; Characiformes; Serrasalmidae. The record is from Ensembl.